UACAGAGGUCUCAAGCGUUGUUCGGAUUCAUUGGGCGUAAAGGGUGUGUAGGUGGCGCCGUAAGUCGGGUGUGAAAUUUCGGAGCUUAACUCCGAAACUGCAUUCGAUACUGCGGUGCUUGAGGACUGGAGAGGAGACUGGAAUUCAUGGUGUAGCAGUGAAAUGCGUAGAGAUCAUGAGGAGGACCAGUGGCGAAGGCGGGUCUCUGGACAGUUCCUGACACUGAGACACGAAGGCCAGGGGAGCAAACGGG
RNAcentral lists this ribosomal RNA (253 nucleotides) under uncultured bacterium. RNAcentral describes it as "partial 16S ribosomal RNA". It matches the Rfam family "Bacterial small subunit ribosomal RNA", at positions 524 to 776 of the family's 1533-position model. The record is from RNAcentral.